AUUCUGCCCAUGCGGGGAAGGAUGAGAAGCCUCGACCAAGGUUCGACUCGAGCGCCAGCGAGAGAGCGUUGCCGCAGGCAACGACCCGAAGGGCGAAGCGCGCA
Molecule: small RNA, 104 nt
Filed under: Escherichia coli
Lineage: Bacteria; Pseudomonadati; Pseudomonadota; Gammaproteobacteria; Enterobacterales; Enterobacteriaceae
Also listed under: 4 other names
Description: partial RtT sRNA
Rfam family: RtT RNA
About the family: This family represents a bacterial cis-regulatory element known as RtT RNA. The exact function of RtT is unknown although it is thought that it may be involved in changing the cellular response in relation to amino acid starvation.
Source: RNAcentral